This 2301-nucleotide ribosomal RNA is filed under the name human gut metagenome. RNAcentral's name for it is "bacterial LSU rRNA". It matches the Rfam family "Bacterial large subunit ribosomal RNA", at positions 502 to 2814 of the family's 2925-position model. The record is from RNAcentral.
CGUGAGGGAAAGGUGAAAAGAACCCCGGGAGGGGAGUGAAAUAGAACCUGAAACCAUGUGCCUACAACCGAUCAAAGCACCUUAUGUGUGUGAUGAUGUGCUUUUUGUAGAACGAGCCAACGAGUUACGGUAUGUAGCGAGGUUAAGUACUUAAGGUACGGAGCCGAAGGGAAACCGAGUCUUAAUAGGGCGACUAGUUGCAUGCUGUAGACCCGAAACCGGGUGACCUAUCCAUGGCCAGGUUGAAGCGAGGGUAAAACCUCGUGGAGGACCGAACCACGUUGCUGUUGAAAAAGCAUGGGAUGAGCUGUGGAUAGCGGAGAAAUUCCAAUCGAACUCGGAUAUAGCUGGUUCUCCUCGAAAUAGCUUUAGGGCUAGCGUCGUGAAAUGUGAGUACUGGAGGUAGAGCACUGAAUAGGCUAGGGGGCAUAGCGCUUACCGAACCUUAUCAAACUCCGAAUGCCAGAUACUAUCAGCACGGCAGUCAGACUAUGAAAGAUAAGUUCCAUGGUCAAAAGGGAAACAGCCCAGAUCGUCAGCUAAGGUCCCAAAGUGUAAGUUAAGUGGAAAAGGAUGUGGGAUUUCUAAGACAACUAGGAUGUUGGCUUAGAAGCAGCCACUCAUUAAAAGAGUGCGUAAUAGCUCACUAGUCAAGAGAUCCUGCGCCGAAAAUGUCCGGGGCUCAAACUUACCACCGAAGCUACGGGUUCAUACUUUGUAUGAGCGGUAGAGGAGCGUCGUAAUCGGGCUGAAGUCGUACCGUAAGGAGCGGUGGACUGAUUACGAGUGAGAAUGUUGGCAUUAGUAGCGAGAUGUAGGUGAGAAUCCUACAGGCCGAAUAUCUAAGGUUUCCUGAGUAAAGUUUGUCUUCUCAGGGUUAGUCGGGACCUAAGGCGAGGCCGAGAGGCGUAGUCGAUGGACAAUUGGUUGAUAUUCCAAUACCACUAUAAUCGUUAUUAUCGAUGGUGUGACGGAGAAGGAUAGGAUGUGCCAGCUAUUGGAUGCUGGUCUAAGCGUUGAGGGAGUUAGAACAGGCAAAUCCGUUCUAACAAUCCUAGGGCGUGAUGGGGAAGGUUCUACGGAACCGAAGUAUCUGAUUUCAUGCUUCCAAGAAAAGCAUCUAGAAAGAGAAGUAGUGCCCGUACCGCAAACCGACACAGGUAGAUGAGGAGAGAAUCCUAAGGCCAUCGGAAGAAUUGCAGUUAAGGAACUAGGCAAAUUGACCCCGUAAGUUAGCGAGAAGGGGUGCCUGCGAGAGCAGGCCGCAGAGAAUAGGCCCAAGCAACUGUUUAGCAAAAACACAGGUCUCUGCUAAAGCGUAAGCUGAUGUAUAGGGGCUGACGCCUGCCCGGUGCUGGAAGGUUAAGGGGAACACUUAGCGCAAGCGAAGGUGUGAACUUAAGCCCCAGUAAACGGCGGCCGUAACUAUAACGGUCCUAAGGUAGCGAAAUUCCUUGUCGGGUAAGUUCCGACCCGCACGAAAGGUGUAACGAUUUGGGCACUGUCUCAACAAAGGAUCCGGUGAAAUUGUAGUAGUCGUGAAGAUGCGACUUACCCACGCUAGGACGGAAAGACCCCGUGGAGCUUUACUGUAGGCUGAUAUUGGAUUUUGAGAUUAAAUGUACAGGAUAGUUGGGAGACUGAGAUAUCUGGAUGCCAAUCUAGGAGGAGUCACUGGUGGGAUACCAACCUUUUAAUAUCAAAGUUCUAACCAUAGCCCUUGAAUCAGGGCAUGGGACAUUGUCAGUUGGGCAGUUUGACUGGGGCGGUCGCCUCCUAAAAAGUAACGGAGGCGUUCAAAGGUUCGCUCAGAAUGGACGGAAACCAUUCGCAGAGUAUAAAGGCAAAAGCGAGCUUAACUGCGAGAGCUACAACUCAAGCAGAGUCGAAAGACGGACUUAGUGAUCCGGUGGUACCGCAUGGAAGGGCCAUCGCUCAACGGAUAAAAGCUACCCCGGGGAUAACAGGCUUAUCUCCCCCAAGAGUCCACAUCGACGGGGAGGUUUGGCACCUCGAUGUCGGCUCGUCUCAUCCUGGGGCUGGAGUAGGUCCCAAGGGUUGGGCUGUUCGCCCAUUAAAGAGGCACGCGAGCUGGGUUCAGAACGUCGUGAGACAGUUCGGUCCCUAUCCAGCGUGGGCGUAAGAAAUUUGAGAGGAGCUGUCCUUAGUACGAGAGGACCGGGAUGGACGCACCAAUGGUGUACGAGUUGUUAGGCCACUAGCAUGGCUCGGUAGCUAAGUGCGGGAAUGAUAAGUACUGAAAGCAUCUAAGUACGAAGCAUGCCUCAAGAUAAGAUUUCU